RNAcentral lists this transfer RNA (76 nucleotides) under Puniceicoccales bacterium. RNAcentral's name for it is "tRNA-Thr". It matches the Rfam family "tRNA". From Rfam's summary of the family: Transfer RNA (tRNA) molecules are approximately 80 nucleotides in length. Lineage: Bacteria; Pseudomonadati; Verrucomicrobiota; Opitutia; Puniceicoccales. The record is from RNAcentral.
GCCCUUGUAGCUCAGUUGGUAGAGCGCGUCCUUGGUAAGGACGAGGUCGGCAGUUCAAAUCUGCUCGGGGGCUCCA